Molecule: ribosomal RNA, 749 nt
Filed under: uncultured Mogibacterium sp.
Lineage: Bacteria; Bacillati; Bacillota; Clostridia; Peptostreptococcales; Anaerovoracaceae
Description: bacterial SSU rRNA
Rfam family: Bacterial small subunit ribosomal RNA
Source: RNAcentral
GAUGAACGCUGGCGGCGUGCCUAAUACAUGCAAGUCGAGCGAGAUGUUAGCGCAUGAACCUUCGGGGGAUUAUGCUAACGGACAGCGGCGGACGGGUGAGUAACGCGUAGGCAACCUGCCCCUGACAGAGGGAUAGCCAUUGGAAACGAUGAUUAAAACCUCAUGACACCGUAGAAGCACAUGCUUCAUCGGUCAAAGAUUUAUCGGUCAGGGAUGGGCCUGCGUCUGAUUAACUAGUUGGUGAGGUAACGGCUCACCAAGGUGACGAUCAGUAGCCGACCUGAGAGGGUGAUCGGCCACAUUGGAACUGAGACACGGUCCAAACUUCUACGGAAGGCAGCAGUAGGGAAUCUUGCACAAUGGGCGAAAGCCUGAUGCAGCAACGCCGCGUGAAGGAUGAAGGCCUUCGGGUUGUAAACUUCUGUUCUAAGGGAAGAAACAAAUGACGGUACCUUAGGAGCAAGCCCCGGCUAACUACGUGCCAGCAGCCGCGGUAAUACGUAGGGGGCAAGCGUUAUCCGGAAUUAUUGGGCGUAAAGAGUGCGUAGGUGGUUACCUAAGCGCAAGGUUUAAUUUAGAGGCUCAACCUCUACUUGCCUUGCGAACUGGGCUACUUGAGUGCAGGAGGGGAAAGCGGAAUUCCUAGUGUAGCGGUGAAAUGCGUAGAUAUUAGGAGGAACACCAGCGGCGAAAGCGGCUUUCUGGACUGUAACUGACACUGAGGCACGAAAGCGUGGGUAGCAAACAGG